GGGGACGUUACGGAUUCGACAGGGAUAGAUUGAGCUCAAGCUGCGUGUCGAGGUUACGGCUCGUUAAACGUUACCCGCCAAUAAUAACUGGCAAAGAAAACAAUUUCUCUUUAGCAGCUGCAUAAGCUUGCUAAAGGAUCCUGCUUAGCAUCGCCCAUGUGCUAAGAUUUAGGGUCUCAAAUGAAGUGGGAUACGCUAACCUCCACCGUCUGAGGAUGUUAGAAGAGACUAAUCAGACUAGCGACUAAGGACGCCUGUUGGUUGGCAGAUUGGUUCGCGAAACACGAAUAAACCGACUACACACGUAGAAGCUUGAGUGGCGAUAUCUCUGGACGUGGGUUCGACUCCCACCGUCUCCACCA
Molecule: transfer-messenger RNA, 362 nt
Filed under: Pelagirhabdus alkalitolerans
Lineage: Bacteria; Bacillati; Bacillota; Bacilli; Caryophanales; Bacillaceae
Description: Standard tmRNA
Rfam family: transfer-messenger RNA
About the family: Bacterial tmRNA, also known as 10Sa RNA or SsrA, is named for its dual tRNA and mRNA-like properties. Its role is to liberate the mRNA from a stalled ribosome.
Source: Rfam by way of RNAcentral